AGUGCGAUAGCUGGGUCAAAUGGUGGUUCCAUUCCAAAUUUUCUAAGAAAUCUCUAUACUGUUUUCCAGAUUGAUUGUACCAAUUUGCAGUCCCUCCAGCAAU
This 103-nucleotide microRNA precursor is filed under the name Marmota monax (woodchuck). Lineage: Eukaryota; Metazoa; Chordata; Mammalia; Rodentia; Sciuridae. The record is from RNAcentral.